AGAUGAGAGAAACACCCCGCCCGCAGGGGACUGCGGGUGAUGCCGGUCCGGGGCUCCCCCAGCGCCGUACCGGCCGUGCCAUCGCGCACACCGCUGGAGCUUCGGGCUCCGGGACUCCUCACCGAUCGGA
Molecule: non-coding RNA, 130 nt
Organism: Streptomyces pratensis ATCC 33331
Lineage: Bacteria; Bacillati; Actinomycetota; Actinomycetes; Kitasatosporales; Streptomycetaceae
Source: Rfam